UUUUAGUCUCUCUUCCUUUGGAGAACUGUUCUUAUUCAUAUUAUUCUAACAAAACCAUCUUCAUCAAUCAACAUGAGAAAUUGGCUUCAAAAAAUGUAAGAGUUUUUGAAAAAUGUUUUUGAAGAUUCUAACAACAAAACAAUCUUCCAUCGGAUUCACAAAAUGUAAAAGUUUCUUGUUUGUCCAGAACCGGCCACAUGAAGAUCAUCCAUUCUUCCUCUUUCCAGCUCCAAGCUUGAUCGAGAUAGUGAGCAGAUUUUUAUUCCUAAAGAUAUUUCUGUUGAUUAAGGUUGGAUUAUUCGAUUGCCAUUUUUUUGGGUUUUACAUAUUGCAACUCCACAGGUAUUGCAGUCCAAGUAACUUUCCUCACCUUACUCAAUUGUUCCAUUUGUUCAAUGAGUACAAUGGAAAUUAUGCUUUGUAUUUUUUGAAUUUUUCUUGAGUAGAAUUAAAAUUAUUCCUAACAACAAAAUAAUCUUCCAUCGGUUUCACAAAAUGUAAAAGUUUCUCGUUUGUCCAUAACCGGCCACAUGAAGAUCAUCCAUUCUUCCUCUUUCCAGGUCCAAGCUUGAUCGAGAUAGUUGAUUAAGGUUGGCUUAUUUGAUUGCCAUUUUUUUGGGUUUUACAUAUUGCAACUCCACAGUUAUUGCACUCCACAUUGUUGGAGAUUGGUAAUAUUUUUUUUUGAAGACAUGGUUGAAAGUUCUUGUAGCAUUUUGUUUGUGUUUUGUAGGUUGUUGAAUAUUUGGCAAUAUAUUUUUUUAAGAGAUGGUUGAAAGUUAUUGUGACAUUUAUAUUUUCAUUUUAUUUUUAUUUAUUUUUUGUAAUGCUACCAUUUAAUGGUUGUAACGCUUUAAUUGAAGAGGAAGUAAUUAAGAGGGAUAGAGGGGGGUUACAAACACCACAACCGCUAGAUGUCUUUUGCUAGGAUGAGAUUGGGAUGGUCGGAUCACGUGUUUGUCUCUCAAAAUGUUAUUUGUCCGUCCAAGGCUCAAAAACCCAUGUUGUUUUGUAUUAUAGAUUGAAUGGUGUUGGAGUUG
RNA transcript from Papaver somniferum (opium poppy), 1040 nucleotides. RefSeq lists it as uncharacterized. Lineage: Eukaryota; Viridiplantae; Streptophyta; Magnoliopsida; Ranunculales; Papaveraceae. The record is from RefSeq and is a predicted model, not a curated record. The transcript is spliced from 4 exons.